Camellia sinensis is the source of this 1838-nucleotide non-coding RNA. The record is from RefSeq and is a predicted model, not a curated record. NCBI's taxonomy places the organism in Eukaryota, Viridiplantae, Streptophyta, Magnoliopsida, Ericales, Theaceae.
CUUUAUAUCUCACAUCUUCCACAACCCAAUCCACCCAGUAUUUUCAUAUACCCUUUUCUUGUCUUCAGCAAAUCCAUCUUUCUUUUUAUUUGCUUAGCAGACAAACAUGACUUCAAUGAGAUAUAUGAUAUUGUCUGUAUCAAUCCUAGUUCUCCUCUUAGCAUCCCACUUUCAUCCAACUUCAGCCCAUCCACAUGAACAUGAAGAUCAAAGAGUGUUGACAUCAGUUGGUAGAAGAAUUCUGAGCCUACCCACUGAAUUUGAUACUGAUAAUAGUAGCAAAAUUCGAGUUCAAAUCAAGAAAAGAAUGCGAUUUGUGCCCAGUUCUGGAGCCGGAACCGGCGCCGGUUCCAUCCGACCCAAAACAAGAUCUUCAGCAGCACCAACAACUACUAAUAGACAUGUUUCUUCUUCACUCCAUGUGUGCUCCCUUCUUCUUGGUUUCUUCUUUAUCUUAUUUCGCAGAUCGAAUAUCAUGAAUGAUGGCCUGGCAAUCCCAUGGAGGUAGCAAUUCAGAUACACUCAAAUCGAUGACAGACUUAUUAUCAAUUUCCAUAUGAACUUGCCUUAGAUUGAGGGUUUGAGAAAAGGCACAUGCCAGGUCAACCGCUUGGGCUUCACCUUGCAGGGUUGAUGCAACAUGAACAGUAGAGGUUUUUCCAUCCACCCACUUUCCUUCCCAGUUUCUGAUUCUGAGUAUGAUUGCCAAGGAUUCCUUAGACCCAUCUCUUGAAAAACUUGCAUCACAGUUAAGCUUAAACUGGACCCGAGUUGGAGGACUCCAUUUGCAAAUAGGAGAAUUUGUUGCCACGUUACUUGGCUGUCAAACACAAGGGUGAUUUUGAACAACAACUUCUCUCCAAUAGGACUUCGCUUGUUGCAGAGUUAGCGUGGGAUUUCAAAAUUAAAAAAUAUAUAUAUAUAAAUUAUAAGCAACUCUAUAAAUUGUAUCAAACAGCACCAAUGACUGGUAAUUUUUUUGGUACAAUUCAUUCUAGGUUUAUUUCAAUCUUUCAGAUCUAUAUUGCCUACAAGAAAUUUAUAUUGGCUAUGUGAAUGGGAGGUCACAAUUUAUUUCUUCCACAAACUAGAUUUGGGUAGUGAUGAUAAUGAGGAAUUGGUUUUGAGAGCUGUAGCUUCAAUGGGUAGGUUAAAUUUUAUUUCAUUGAUUUAUUUGUUUAUAACCAAGCUAACAUGUUUCACAUUAAUAGUACUUUUGAUUUAUAUUGCUAAUUUUCAUAAAAGGUUUAUUUAUUUGAUUAUUAGAAUUUUAUGAUUCAUUAUUUGAUUUUAUGAUCACUUUUUCCACUUUUAUUUUCAAGUACUUGUUGUACGGAGGAUUACAGUUUUUAUAUUUGAUGUUCUAACCCUGUUGAAUUGUCUUUAUUUGAUAAAUUUUUGAUAGUUGAAGGUUAAGGAAGCAUUUGGAUAUUGGGUAGGCUUGGGCGGGUUUGGACUGGGCUCAUAUUAUAUACAAAAUCAUUUUCCAAGCCUAGCUUGGUCUGGGAUAGGGCCAAUUUUUUUUAUUUUUAUUUUUGAGCUCAUCCAAAAAUAAAAUAAAAAAUCUUAAACUUGUUCACGUAGCUCGGAUAUUAUUUAAUAUAAAUAUAUUUUUUCAUAUUUUAAAAUAAAAAAUUAUAAUUAAUUUGACAAUAUGAGUGUCGUUCAAGGUUAGUAGUUUAAAUUUUGUAACUAAUUCGUUUCAUAAUACUACAUAAUUUAUGCUAAUAAAAAAUGAAGUUAAAAGUGAACACAUACAUAUAAUAUAUUAUAUAAUAUAGUUUGUGGAUGAGCUUGCCAGGCUACGCUUAAAUAUAUAUAUAUAUAUAUAUUUUCCA